UGCUUUCAUAGCUCAGUUGGUUAGAGCACCCGUUUAGUAAGCGGGAGGUCUUGAGUUCAAACCUCAAUGAAAGCAA
RNAcentral lists this transfer RNA (76 nucleotides) under Amborella trichopoda. RNAcentral's name for it is "tRNA AMTR_s00088t00277580". It matches the Rfam family "tRNA". Rfam says of the family: Transfer RNA (tRNA) molecules are approximately 80 nucleotides in length. Their secondary structure includes four short double-helical elements and three loops (D, anti-codon, and T loops). Lineage: Eukaryota; Viridiplantae; Streptophyta; Magnoliopsida; Amborellales; Amborellaceae. The record is from RNAcentral.